Molecule: ribosomal RNA, 497 nt
Filed under: uncultured bacterium
Lineage: Bacteria
Description: partial 16S ribosomal RNA
Rfam family: Bacterial small subunit ribosomal RNA
Source: RNAcentral
GAUGAACGCUGGCGGCGUGCCUAAUACAUGCAAGUCGAGCGAACAGACGAGGAGCUUGCUCCUCUGACGUUAGCGGCGGACGGGUGAGUGACACGUGGAUAACCUACCUAUAAGACUGGGAUAAAUUCGGGAAACCGGAGCUAAUACCGGAUAAUAUAUUUAACCGCAUGGUUCAAUAGUGAAAGACGGUUUUGCUGUCACUUAUUGAUGGAUCCGCGCCGCAUUAGCUAGUUGGUAAGGUAAGCGCUUACCAAGGCGACGAUGCGUAGCCGACCUUAGAGGGUAAUGGGCAAAACUGGACCUGAGACACGUCCCAGACUCCUACGGGGGGAACCAUAAGGGAAUCUUCCGCAAUGGGCGAAAGCCUGACGAAGCAACGCCGCGUGAUGGAUAAAGGUCUUCGGAUCGUAAAACUCUGUUAUUGGGAAAGAACAAAUGUGUAAGUAACUAUGCGCAUCUUGACGGUACCUAAUCAGAAAGCCACGGCAAACUACGUG